Molecule: long non-coding RNA, 629 nt
Filed under: Bos taurus (domestic cattle)
Lineage: Eukaryota; Metazoa; Chordata; Mammalia; Artiodactyla; Bovidae
Description: long non-coding RNA NONBTAT002713
Source: RNAcentral
AUGGCUGCCCAAAGAGAACCCCAAGUUCAGUUCAAACUUGUUUUGGUGGGUGAUGGUGACACUGGCAAAACUACACCUGUGAAACACCAUCUGACUGGUGAAUCUGAGAAGUGUAUAGUUACCCGGAGUGUUGAGUCCCAUUCCCCGUGUUCCAUACUAACAGAGGACCUACCUAUUAAGUUCAAUGUAUGGGAUGCAGCUGGUCAGGAGAAAUUUGGUGGACGAAGAGAUGGCUAUAACCAAGAUGAGUGUCUCAUUAGAACGUUUGACAUCAGGAGUUACGAGAACACGCCUAACAGGCACAGAGAUCUGGUCCGAGUGUGUGAGAACAACCCCCAUCAUAUUGUGUAGCAACAAAGUAGAUAUUAAGGACAGAAAGAUUAAGGCAAAGUCAGUUGUCUCCCACCAAAAGGAGACUCUUCAGUACUAUGUCAUUUCUGCCAAAAGUAGGCAGAAAAGCUUUGAAAAGCCCUCGCUCUGGCUUGCUAGAAAGCCAAGUGGAGGCCCUAACUCGGAGUUUGUCAUCAUGCCCGCUCUCACCCGCCAGAGGUGGUCAUGGACCCAGCCUGGCAGUGCAUCUAGAGGUUGCUCAGACAGCUCCUUUCCCGGAUGAAAAUGAUGACCUGUGA